AGUGAACGCUGGCGGUAGGCCUAACACAUGCAAGUCGAACGGCAGCACAGAGGAGCUUGCUCCUUGGGUGGCGAGUGGCGGACGGGUGAGGAAUACAUCGGAAUCUACUCUGUCGUGGGGGAUAACGUAGGGAAACUUACGCUAAUACCGCAUACGACCUACGGGUGAAAGCAGGGGAUCUUCGGACCUUGCGCGAUUGAAUGAGCCGAUGUCGGAUUAGCUAGUUGGCGGGGUAAAGGCCCACCAAGGCGACGGUCCGUAGCUGGUCUGAGAGGAUGAUAAAGCACACUGGAACUGAGUAUCGGUCCAGACUCCUACGGAAGGCAGCAGGGGGGAAUAUUGGACAAUGGGCGCAAGCCUGAUCCAGCCAUACCGCGUGGGUGAAGAAGGCCUUCGGGUUGUAAAGCCCUUUUGUUGGGAAAGAAAUCCAUCUGGUUAAUACCCGGGUGGGAUGACGGUACCCAAAGAAUAAGCACCGGCUAACUUCGUGCCAGCAGCCGCCGUAA
This 506-nucleotide ribosomal RNA is filed under the name uncultured bacterium. RNAcentral's name for it is "partial 16S ribosomal RNA". It matches the Rfam family "Bacterial small subunit ribosomal RNA", at positions 29 to 523 of the family's 1533-position model. The record is from RNAcentral.